RNAcentral lists this ribosomal RNA (492 nucleotides) under uncultured bacterium. RNAcentral's name for it is "partial 16S ribosomal RNA". It matches the Rfam family "Bacterial small subunit ribosomal RNA", at positions 29 to 507 of the family's 1533-position model. The record is from RNAcentral.
AGUGAACGCUGGCGGUAGGCCUAACACAUGCAAGUCGAACGGCAGCACAGUAAGAGCUUGCUCUUACGGGUGGCGAGUGGCGGAAGGGUGAGGAAUCCAUCGGAAUCUACUUUUUCGGGGUGGAUAACGUAGGGAAACUUACGCUAAUACCGCAUACUACCUACGGGUGAAAGCAGAGACUCUUCGGACCUUGCGCGAUUAAAUGAGACGAUGACGGGUUAGAUAGGUGGCGGGGUAAAGGCCCACCAAGGCGACGAUCCGUAGCUGGUCUGAGAGGAUGAUCAGCCACCCUGGAAUUGAGACACGGCCCAGACCACUACGGGAGGCAGCAGUGGGGAAUAUUGGACAAGGGGCUGAAGCCGGAUCCAGUCAUACCGCGUGGGUGAAGAAGUCACUCGGGUUUGAAAGCCAUUCUGUUGGGAAAGAAAAGCAGCAGUUUAAUACCCCGCUGUUCUGACGGUACUCUAAGAAUAAGCACCGGCUAACUUCGUG